UGCUGAUUCUAGUAUCUUCA
Molecule: non-coding RNA, 20 nt
Filed under: Mus musculus (house mouse)
Lineage: Eukaryota; Metazoa; Chordata; Mammalia; Rodentia; Muridae
Source: RNAcentral